This 37-nucleotide transfer RNA is filed under the name Onykia robusta (robust clubhook squid). RNAcentral's name for it is "partial tRNA-Arg". Lineage: Eukaryota; Metazoa; Mollusca; Cephalopoda; Oegopsida; Onychoteuthidae. The record is from RNAcentral.
UCGGCUUAUACUUUAGAUGUACUUACAUCCUUGUUUA